CCUACGGGAGGCUGCAGUGGGGAAUUUUGGACAAUGGGGGCAACCCUGAUCCAGCCAUGCCGCGUGCGGGAAGAAGGCCUUCGGGUUGUAAACCGCUUUUGUCAGGGAAGAAACGGUCUGCGCUAAUACCGCGGACUAAUGACGGUACCUGAAGAAUAAGCACCGGCUAACUACGUGCCAGCAGCCGCGGUAAUACGUAGGGUGCAAGCGUUAAUCGGAAUUACUGGGCGUAAAGCGUGCGCAGGCGGCUUUGCAAGACAGAUGUGAAAUCCCCGGGCUCAACCUGGGAACUGCAUUUGUGACUGCAUGGCUAGAGUGCGGCAGAGGGGGAUGGAAUUCCGCGUGUAGCAGUGAAAUGCGUAGAUAUGCGGAGGAACACCGAUGGCGAAGGCAAUCCCCUGGGCCUGCACUGACGCUCAUGCACGAAAGCGUGGGGAGCAAACAGGAUUAGAUACCCCAGUAGUC
This 465-nucleotide ribosomal RNA is filed under the name uncultured Burkholderiales bacterium. Its description in RNAcentral is "bacterial SSU rRNA". It matches the Rfam family "Bacterial small subunit ribosomal RNA", at positions 338 to 795 of the family's 1533-position model. The record is from RNAcentral. Lineage: Bacteria; Pseudomonadati; Pseudomonadota; Betaproteobacteria; Burkholderiales.